AACGAACGCUGGCGGCAGGCUUAACACAUGCCAGUCGAACGCACCUUUCGGGGUGAGUGGCCGACGGGUGAGUAACGCGUGGGAAUCUACCCUUCUCUACGGGAUAGCUCCGGGAAACUGGAAUUAAUACCGUAUACGUCCUGAGGGAGAAAGAUUUAUCGGGGAAGGAUGAGCCCGCGUUGGAUUAGCUAGUUGGUGGGGUAAAGGCCUACCAAGGCGACGAUCCAUAGCUGGUCUAAGAGGAUGAUCAGCCACAUUGGGACUGAGACACGGCCCAAACUCCUACGGGAGGCAGCAGUGGGGAAUAUUGGAAAAUGGCCGCAAGCCUGAUCCAGCCAGGCCGCGUGAGUGAUGAAGGCCCUAGGGUUGUGAAGCUCUUUCAGUGGGGACGAUAAUGACGGUACCCACAGAAGAAGCCCCGGCUAACUUCGUG
RNAcentral lists this ribosomal RNA (433 nucleotides) under uncultured bacterium. RNAcentral's name for it is "partial 16S ribosomal RNA". It matches the Rfam family "Bacterial small subunit ribosomal RNA", at positions 29 to 507 of the family's 1533-position model. The record is from RNAcentral.